GAUGAACGCUAGCGGCAGGCUUAACACAUGCAAGUCGAGGGGUAUUUAUCUUCGGAUAGAGAGACCGGCGCACGGGUGCGUAACGCGUAUGCAAUCUACCUUUUACAGAGGGAUAGCCCAGAGAAAUUUGGAUUAAUACCUCAUAGUAUAUAGACUCGGCAUCGAGAUUAUAUUAAAGUCACAACGGUAAAAGAUGAGCAUGCGUCCCAUUAGCUAGUUGGUAAGGUAACGGCUUACCAAGGCUACGAUGGGUAGGGGUCCUGAGAGGGAGAUCCCCCACACUGGUACUGAGACACGGACCAGACUCCUACGGGAGGCAGCAGUGAGGAAUAGUGGACAAUGGGCGCAAGCCUGAUCCAGCCAUGCCGCGUGCAGGAUGACGGUCCUAUGGAUUGUAAACUGCUUUUAUACGAGAAGAAACACUGCUACGUGUAGCAGCUUGACGGUAUCGUAAGAAUAAGGAGCGGCUAACUCCGUG
RNAcentral lists this ribosomal RNA (478 nucleotides) under uncultured bacterium. Its description in RNAcentral is "partial 16S ribosomal RNA". It matches the Rfam family "Bacterial small subunit ribosomal RNA", at positions 28 to 507 of the family's 1533-position model. The record is from RNAcentral.